RNAcentral lists this ribosomal RNA (406 nucleotides) under uncultured bacterium. RNAcentral's name for it is "partial 16S ribosomal RNA". It matches the Rfam family "Bacterial small subunit ribosomal RNA", at positions 29 to 526 of the family's 1533-position model. The record is from RNAcentral.
AUUGAACGCUGGCGGCAGGCCUAACACAUGCAAGUCGAACGAGUGGCGGACGGGUGAGUAAUGUCUGGGAAACUGCCCGAUGGAGGGGGAUAACUACUGGAAACGGUAGCUAAUACCGCAUACCAUCGGAUGUGCCCAUAUGGGAUUAGCUAGUAGGGGGGGUAACGGCUCACCUAGGCGACGAUCCCUAGCUGGUCUGAGAGGCUGACCAGCCACACUGGAACUGAGACACGGCCCAGACUCCUACGGGAGGCAGAAGUGGGGAAGAUUGCACAAGGGGCGCAAGCCUGAGGCAGCCAUGCCGCGUGUAUGAAGAAGGCCUUGGGGUUGUAAAGUACUUUCAGCGAGGAGGCGUUACUCGCAGAAGAAGCACCGGCUAACUCCGGGCCAGCAGCCGCGGUAAUUC